GGAAAGCUUGCUGGCGCGCGAAGCUGAGUUUCUGGAUGAACUCAGGUUCGGCAGCUGAAGGAGGAGUUCGGCCGCCGAACAUGCCCAAGGUUCGGAUCUGUUCUGGACAUUCGGCCGCCGAAGGUGCUACCGAAGGUGUUCUGUCCAGCCUUCCUUUGCAUGUUUUAUGUGAUUGUUUUGAGAGGUUUUAGAGGGAUUCUUGGGAAGAUGUUUAAGGGUUAUGAUAGAGUAUGUUUGACACCUCAUUCGAGUCCAUUUGAUUCAGGACUGGACCCGAGAGAUCGAGGAGGUCAUCAG
This 297-nucleotide long non-coding RNA is filed under the name Manihot esculenta (cassava). RNAcentral's name for it is "long non-coding RNA (MESC_LNC010875)". Lineage: Eukaryota; Viridiplantae; Streptophyta; Magnoliopsida; Malpighiales; Euphorbiaceae. The record is from RNAcentral.